GUUAAGCGACUAAGCGUACACGGUGGAUGCCCUGGCAGUCAGAGGCGAUGAAGGACGUGCUAAUCUGCGAUAAGCGUCGGUAAGGUGAUAUGAACCGUUAUAACCGGCGAUUUCCGAAUGGGGAAACCCAGUGUGAUUCGUCACACUAUCAUUAACUGAAUCCAUAGGUUAAUGAGGCGAACCGGGGGAACUGAAACAUCUAAGUACCCCGAGGAAAAGAAAUCAACCGAGAUUCCCCCAGUAGCGGCGAGCGAACGGGGAGCAGCCCAGAGCCUGAAUCAGUGUGUGUGUUAGUGGAAGCGUCUGGAAAGGCGUGCGAUACAGGGUGACAGCCCCGUACACAAAAAUGCACAUACUGUGAGCUCGAUGAGUAGGGCGGGACACGUGGUAUCCUGUCUGAAUAUGGGGGGACCAUCCUCCAAGGCUAAAUACUCCUGACUGACCGAUAGUGAACCAGUACCGUGAGGGAAAGGCGAAAAGAACCCCGGCGAGGGGAGUGAAAAAGAACCUGAAACCGUGUACGUACAAGCAGUGGGAGCACGCUUAGGCGUGUGACUGCGUACCUUUUGUAUAAUGGGUCAGCGACUUAUAUUCUGUAGCAAGGUUAACCGAAUAGGGGAGCCGAAGGGAAACCGAGUCUUAACUGGGCGUUAAGUUGCAGGGUAUAGACCCGAAACCCGGUGAUCUAGCCAUGGGCAGGUUGAAGGUUGGGUAACACUAACUGGAGGACCGAACCGACUAAUGUUGAAAAAUUAGCGGAUGACUUGUGGCUGGGGGUGAAAGGCCAAUCAAACCGGGAGAUAGCUGGUUCUCCCCGAAAGCUAUUUAGGUAGCGCCUCGUGAAUUCAUCUCCGGGGGUAGAGCACUGUUUCGGCAAGGGGGUCAUCCCGACUUACCAACCCGAUGCAAACUGCGAAUACCGGAGAAUGUUAUCACGGGAGACACACGGCGGGUGCUAACGUCCGUUGUGAAGAGGGAAACAACCCAGACCGCCAGCUAAGGUCCCAAAGUCAUGGUUAAGUGGGAAACGAUGUGGGAAGGCCCAGACAGCCAGGAUGUUGGCUUAGAAGCAGCCAUCAUUUAAAGAAAGCGUAAUAGCUCACUGGUCGAGUCGGCCUGCGCGGAAGAUGUAACGGGGCUAAACCAUGCACCGAAGCUGCGGCAGCGACGCUUAUGCGUUGUUGGGUAGGGGAGCGUUCUGUAAGCCUGUGAAGGUGUACUGUGAGGUAUGCUGGAGGUAUCAGAAGUGCGAAUGCUGACAUAAGUAACGAUAAAGCGGGUGAAAAGCCCGCUCGCCGGAAGACCAAGGGUUCCUGUCCAACGUUAAUCGGGGCAGGGUGAGUCGACCCCUAAGGCGAGGCCGAAAGGCGUAGUCGAUGGGAAACAGGUUAAUAUUCCUGUACUUGGUGUUACUGCGAAGGGGGGACGGAGAAGGCUAUGUUGGCCGGGCGACGGUUGUCCCGGUUUAAGCGUGUAGGCUGGUUUUCCAGGCAAAUCCGGAAAAUCAAGGCCGAGGCGUGAUGACGAGGCACUACGGUGCUGAAGCAACAAAUGCCCUGCUUCCAGGAAAAGCCUCUAAGCAUCAGGUAACAUCAAAUCGUACCCCAAACCGACACAGGUGGUCAGGUAGAGAAUACCAAGGCGCUUGAGAGAACUCGGGUGAAGGAACUAGGCAAAAUGGUGCCGUAACUUCGGGAGAAGGCACGCUGAUACGUAGGUGAAGCGACUUGCUCGUGGAGCUGAAAUCAGUCGAAGAUACCAGCUGGCUGCAACUGUUUAUUAAAAACACAGCACUGUGCAAACACGAAAGUGGACGUAUACGGUGUGACGCCUGCCCGGUGCCGGAAGGUUAAUUGAUGGGGUUAGCGCAAGCGAAGCUCUUGAUCGAAGCCCCGGUAAACGGCGGCCGUAACUAUAACGGUCCUAAGGUAGCGAAAUUCCUUGUCGGGUAAGUUCCGACCUGCACGAAUGGCGUAAUGAUGGCCAGGCUGUCUCCACCCGAGACUCAGUGAAAUUGAACUCGCUGUGAAGAUGCAGUGUACCCGCGGCAAGACGGAAAGACCCCGUGAACCUUUACUAUAGCUUGACACUGAACAUUGAGCCUUGAUGUGUAGGAUAGGUGGGAGGCUUUGAAGUGUGGACGCCAGUCUGCAUGGAGCCGACCUUGAAAUACCACCCUUUAAUGUUUGAUGUUCUAACGUGGACCCGUAAUCCGGGUUGCGGACAGUGUCUGGUGGGUAGUUUGACUGGGGCGGUCUCCUCCUAAAGAGUAACGGAGGAGCACGAAGGUUGGCUAAUCCUGGUCGGACAUCAGGAGGUUAGUGCAAUGGCAUAAGCCAGCUUGACUGCGAGCGUGACGGCGCGAGCAGGUGCGAAAGCAGGUCAUAGUGAUCCGGUGGUUCUGAAUGGAAGGGCCAUCGCUCAACGGAUAAAAGGUACUCCGGGGAUAACAGGCUGAUACCGCCCAAGAGUUCAUAUCGACGGCGGUGUUUGGCACCUCGAUGUCGGCUCAUCACAUCCUGGGGCUGAAGUAGGUCCCAAGGGUAUGGCUGUUCGCCAUUUAAAGUGGUACGCGAGCUGGGUUUAGAACGUCGUGAGACAGUUCGGUCCCUAUCUGCCGUGGGCGCUGGAGAACUGAGGGGGGCUGCUCCUAGUACGAGAGGACCGGAGUGGACGCAUCACUGGUGUUCGGGUUGUCAUGCCAAUGGCACUGCCCGGUAGCUAAAUGCGGAAGAGAUAAGUGCUGAAAGCAUCUAAGCACGAAACUUGCCCCGAGAUGAGUUCUCCCUGACCCUUUAAGGGUCCUGAAGGAACGUUGAAGACGACGACGUUGAUAGGCCGGGUGUGUAAGCGCAGCGAUGCGUUGAGCUAACCGGUACUAAUGAACCGUGAGG
Molecule: ribosomal RNA, 2894 nt
Filed under: Shigella flexneri
Lineage: Bacteria; Pseudomonadati; Pseudomonadota; Gammaproteobacteria; Enterobacterales; Enterobacteriaceae
Description: partial 23S ribosomal RNA
Rfam family: Bacterial large subunit ribosomal RNA
Source: RNAcentral